This 686-nucleotide ribosomal RNA is filed under the name Klebsiella sp. X1-16S-Nf21. RNAcentral's name for it is "bacterial LSU rRNA". It matches the Rfam family "Bacterial large subunit ribosomal RNA", at positions 1 to 722 of the family's 2925-position model. Lineage: Bacteria; Pseudomonadati; Pseudomonadota; Gammaproteobacteria; Enterobacterales; Enterobacteriaceae. The record is from RNAcentral.
GGGUUGUGAGGUUAAGCGACUAAGCGUACACGGUGGAUGCCCUGGCAGUCAGAGGCGAUGAAGGACGUGCUAAUCUGCGAAAAGCGUCGGUAAGGUGAUAUGAACCGUUAUAACCGGCGAUGUCCGAAUGGGGAAACCCAGUGUGAUUCGUCACACUAUCGUUAACUGAAUACAUAGGUUAACGAGGCGAACCGGGGGAACUGAAACAUCUAAGUACCCCGAGGAAAAGAAAUCAACCGAGAUUCCCCCAGUAGCGGCGAGCGAACGGGGAGCAGCCCAGAGUCUGAAUCAGCUUGUGUGUUAGUGGAACGGUCUGGAAAGUCCGACGGUACAGGGUGAUAGUCCCGUACACCAAAAUGCACAGGCUGUGAACUCGAAGAGUAGGGCGGGACACGUGGUAUCCUGUCUGAAUAUGGGGGGACCAUCCUCCAAGGCUAAAUACUCCUGACUGACCGAUAGUGAACCAGUACCGUGAGGGAAAGGCGAAAAGAACCCCGGCGAGGGGAGUGAAAAAGAACCUGAAACCGUGUACGUACAAGCAGUGGGAGCACCUUUGGGUGUGACUGCGUACCUUUUGUAUAAUGGGUCAGCGACUUAUAUUCUGUAGCAAGGUUAACCGUAUAGGGGAGCCGCAGGGAAACCGAGUCUUAACUGGGCGUUAAGUUGCAGGGUAUAGACCCGAAACC